This 29-nucleotide transfer RNA is filed under the name Euphagus cyanocephalus (Brewer's blackbird). Its description in RNAcentral is "partial tRNA-Pro". Lineage: Eukaryota; Metazoa; Chordata; Aves; Passeriformes; Icteridae. The record is from RNAcentral.
AGAGGAGGGUUUAAGUCCUUUCUUCCUGA